ACCCUGAUCCAGCAAUGCCGCGUGUGUGAAGAAGGCCUUCGGGUUGUAAAGCACUUUUGUCCGGAAAGAAAACCAUCGCCCUAAUAUGGUGGUGGGAUGACGGUACCGGAAGAAUAAGCACCGGCUAACUACGUGCCAGCAGCCGCGGUAAUACGUAGGGUGCGAGCGUUAAUCGGAAUUACUGGGCGUAAAGCGUGCGCAGGCGGUCUGUUAAGACCGAUGUGAAAUCCCCGGGCUUAACCUGGGAACUGCAUUGGUGACUGGCAGGCUUUGAGUGUGGCAGAGGGGGGUAGAAUUCCACGUGUAGCAGUGAAAUGCGUAGAGAUGUGGAGGAAUACCGAUGGCGAAGGCAGCCCCCUGGGCCAACACUGACGCUCAUGCACGAAAGCGUGGGGAGCAAACAGGAUUAGAUACCCUGGUAGUCCACGCCCUAAACGAUGUCAACUAGUUGUUGGGGAUUCAUUUCCUUAGUAACGUAGCUAACGCGUGAAGUUGACCGCCUGGGGAGUACGGUCGCAAGAUUAAAACUCAAAGGAAUUGACGGGGACCCGCACAAGCGGUGGAUGAUGUGGAUUAAUUCGAUGCAACGCGAAAAACCUUACCUACCCUUGACAUGGUCGGAAUCCCGCUGAGA
This 634-nucleotide ribosomal RNA is filed under the name Burkholderia sp. IBb304. RNAcentral's name for it is "bacterial SSU rRNA". It matches the Rfam family "Bacterial small subunit ribosomal RNA", at positions 380 to 1006 of the family's 1533-position model. The record is from RNAcentral. Lineage: Bacteria; Pseudomonadati; Pseudomonadota; Betaproteobacteria; Burkholderiales; Burkholderiaceae. RNAcentral also lists the same sequence under 4 other names.